Triticum aestivum (bread wheat) is the source of this 89-nucleotide non-coding RNA. The record is from Rfam. Lineage: Eukaryota; Viridiplantae; Streptophyta; Magnoliopsida; Poales; Poaceae.
GUCUUACUGUGGGUUCCUUGCAAGCACUUCACGAGGCAUUAUUUCAAAAUGCACCAUUGUGAAGUGGUUGGGGGAACUCUUGGUGCCAC